GGCGUCACACCUUCGGGUGAAGUCGCC
Molecule: ribosomal RNA, 27 nt
Filed under: synthetic construct
Description: RNA (27-MER) from synthetic construct (PDB 2M4Q, chain 1)
Source: RNAcentral